UCACGGCAACGCCGGAUCCUUAACCCACUGAGCAAGGGCAGGGACCGAACCCGCAACUUCAUGGUUCCUAGUCGGAUUCGUUAACCACUGCGUCACGAGACGGGAACUCCUAACCUUACAUUUUAGUCCUUAUGGGCGUCUGAUCUCAUCUGUUAGGCGUAAAGCUCCCUAGAAAAACGAGGUCUGUACCUGAUUUCUCUUUGCAUCCUUCACAGAGUCUCCAACAGGGCCACUCAGUGAAUAUCCAUCCACAGCUCUGACUGAAUAAAAGUUUUGCGUGUGCUGAGUUCAUGAGUAACUGAAGCGUUUGAGGCUAAGAAGUAUCCUGGUACCUAUAAAAUUCUUAGGUAACUUACUAAUGGAUUAUUAUUGCUGAAUCUUUUAUAAAGUACUGCCAUGCCUUUCCCUAGGAUGUUGGUAUGUUUCAAAGUGAUGAUAGAGUCUUGAUUUGAUUUAACAUAUUGACUUUCUGAAGCAUAAGCUAUUAAAAUUAUAUAGCCUUAUUCCUAGAGGCAUUAAUUCUAACACUAUUUAUUUUUUUCCUUAAAACUUUUCUGCUGCUAACAGGCAGUUCAAUGUCCAAACUUGUAAAGAAUCACCUGGAGUUGCAGUUUGGAACCUACCACCCAGUGGCAAUUUCCACUGUUCCCUUUGGCUGUCUGAUUACUUGGAGUUGCAAAGUCUCUUUACCAGCAGCAGAAUUCUUACCUACGUGUUUCCACUGAAGAAAACGAUGAUAGCUUUUGUUGCUGCUGCCAUUCUUCCUCUACAUUGUUCCAAAUACUGUGUGAAUUCUCAGUGAGUCUGACGCGAGAGAGAGAGAGGAGUUCCCUGGCGAUCUCAUGAUCGUGGCUGGGACUCAGCCCUUUCACCGCUGUGGUCUGGGUUCAAUCCCUGGUCUGGGAACUGAGCUCCUACAUGCAGCCACUGCACACCUUGGCAGAGAGAGAGAGAGAGAGGAGAAAGAAAAGAAGGUGACUCAGCUGGUAGCUCAGAAUAGUAGCCUAGAGAAUUGUCCCAAGACUGGAGUAAGUGUGUGUUAAAAUUCUUACUUUCCUGCCAGUGUAUCUCUUUAGGAUGUAGCCUGACCUUUCCCGUCCUAGUCUUAGUGACUUUGCUAAUGUGUAUGCUUGUGUCGAGGUGGACCUAGAUUUUAUCUUGGGUUUUUUUUUUCUCCUUUCUCGUCCAACUCUGAAUUUCACCAUGCCGAUUUUGAAAAUGAUGUCAUGUACUUUGAGCAGUGACAGGGAAAUACUAAAGGGGUUUUAUUAACGUUGAUUCCGUUGUUGGUGUGCGUGCACCUGGACCUUUCCAGGCUGUAAGCAGAUCUGGCAGGCUCUGCGGGGCGGAGCUGCUUGCACAGAUGCCCUGGUUCUCCCGGCCUUGGUCCCCCGUGGCCAUGCUUCGUCAGCCCUGUCAGCAGAACAGACUCUCUGAUUCAAAAGAAAUCAUUUCAUCUGGGUGGCAGUGAACACUAGUGUUUACCGCCUGUAUAAAAUCUUCCCGCGGUGACCCCCUGCAGGGAUGGCUCUUGUUUCUCUGCCCCUGCCGAGCUUCCGCUGGCCAGCGGCUGACAUGGCACCAGGAAUGGGCUUAGUGUAGCUUCGGAUGUUUGCCCCUUCGUUAAAGAGGAGCACAAGAAAAAAGGACAGGAAAACUAGGUGUCAGCCGGACAGCGGUGUUCCCUCUCUCUGAGCCUUGAACCGUGCCUGAGACAAAUGUUCGGCCGUGCUUCUUCAUUUCCGACAGUCCUGAGGGUACUUUGCGGUAAUACUUAGAAAUGGGCCCUCUGACCCCAAGCUCCCAUCUGACCUGCCUCCUGAGGGAAGCCUCCGUUGCCCCGGGCUCCUCCACUGAAGAGGCCUCCCCUGCGAAUCUCACCCACGAUCUCUGCCCGGGGUGGAGCCCCACUGGGGGGGACCCCACCCCCACUCCGAGGGAGACGCCCCAGCCUGGGGGCAACAGCUUCCCCCUGUGGGAUAUUCCUGCCAACGCCCCCAGUCCUGCGCCUCAGGCUUCCCCACCAGACCCCUCAUCCUGUGGGGCCUCGGAAGCCCAGCGCUGCUCCUUCAGAGACCUGGAGAGAGACCCAGCCCAUCACUUCUGCCUCGGUCUCCUUUAGGAGAGACAGUUGAAAUCCAAACAGUCACCUUUCUGAUGAAUUUGGGAAGCAGUCUGUGUAUGACUUAGGGCCUGCGUGUGCUUACCUUGGGGAAGCGGGGCUGCAGACACAAGCUACAGUCUGACUGCUGAGGGAGCACUUGACAUUAUUUUUUUUACAAUUUAAUCCUUUAAAGAGAGGAAACUGCGGGCGGCUGCUUUUCCUCCAGUCAAGAAGCGCUUUGCUCCUUUACAGCCAAAGAGCUCAACUGCGAAAUGAACUCCGCAGGCUGAGGCGGGGCUGUAGGUCCUUUGGUGGCCAUUCGAGCCUUUCUCCAUGGCGCGUCCAUCAAAGAACAGCUGUUAAUUUGGAAGAGCUCAGCGGUCGCCACAGGCAGACACACGGGGCCAAGCCUGCAGCAUCCUAGUCCACCCUACAGCCCUUUCCUAGUCAAGCCCAGCAGGACGGGGAUUUAUAUGCAUCGCGUCCACUUGGCCUGAAAGGCUCCGCACCUUCCGCAGGGUGACUUGCAGAGAUGCUUCAGCAGGACUUUCUAAUUCCUACGAAAGGCCGGGAAGCCCAGGGAGGAUUGCGGCGUUUUCACAACUAAAGAAGAGAGGGAACACACACCCUCCACAAAACCCAAAACUCUCGGAAGAGAUUUCGCAAAGUCUCUUCUACCCGUUUCUCUGGACAAGUGUCGCUUUGUUUCGAGUGUUUCUCAUCCUCAAGGGGAGACCUGUGGAGACGGCCUCGGAGUCCCCAGAGAGCAGCAGGGUCUCCAAGGCGUGAGCUUUCCUUGCUGCGCUGAUACCAGAUAGUUGCUGGGGAGCAAGAUGGGUUCCUUCAUUUAAAUGAGAAUUACCUGGUUUGGCUUAAAGAAGCAAGAAUUAACUGUUAGCUCUAUCACUUAACCCACUGCUGGGAUGUGUCUAUCUUUUUUAAGGAAACCGAAUACAGUCUUGGCAGCCACAGCAGCAGUAGAGGGUGAGGGAAAGGAUGAGAAAGAUGACCCUUGGUUCUAAUUGAAAUGACAGCAGCAACGUCUGCAGAACGCACCAGUCUGCACUGAAAUGUUACCGCCAUCCCAAUUCGAGUCUGGGCCCUGCCUACCCAAAUGGUUAACCACAUCUUCACCCACCUUGCAAAGCAAUGUUGUGCCCACCUCCUUAGGUCCCACUCCGGGGACUCCAGUUCCGUAACAGGCUGCCCUCGCAAGGGAACGCACAGCUCCAGCAUCCUCAGGUGCCCAAGUCAUCGUCGCCCCUUCCCUCGGAGCUCUGCCAUUCGGGUCCACGCAGUGUUGACCCACUGAGAUGACGAGACGUCCUGGGGACAUCAUAAUCCUAGGGACGUGGCGGCCGAAAGGUCAGGUUACAAUUUUCCCAUCUUUUCCAAAAAGCCUUUCUCAAGCUAAGGCGUGUUCAGUAUUGUAAUCAAAAUAUACUCAACAUUCAAACGUGUACAUUUCUGAAGCAAAGUAUUUUCUAUUAUGAGGGUCAUUACAGUAUUAAAGAUAGGGAGUCAGAGGGAAGAAAAAAAAAACAUGUGGGAACCAAGAGAGGUAACGGAAGAUUAGUUUUCCAAAUCGAAAUUCUAUUCAAUAUGCCACCGUUUUCUUAUUGACUAAUGCCUGCUUCUCAAAGAUCUCAAGAUACUUUACCAAAACUACCUUUGUAUUAUUGUGGUCCUAGGUUCUGAAUUUUGUAACUUCCAAAAUGAGCUUUUUCCCAAUAACACGAGAGAAUCCCUUAAUCUUUUAUAGCAGAUCCGUGAAGCAUCAUUUGGGAGAAUAAUGCUGUCCUUUUCCGUGGACCCAUGUUGCCGUUGCCUAAUCUAACCUUCCGAGGAGGAGACCCCAGACUCUAUAGGGUGGGAAGGGGCAUGAGCGUCCUCAGGCCCCGUUCUCCUUAGGGAAUGUGUUUUCACUGCAGUGCUGGAAAACACGGAGAAAGAAGCGGGGCAACACGGAAUUAACUGGUUGUGUUGCACGUCACGAAGCAGGGUUGCCAGAAUCAGGAGGACCUCAGAUCCAGCGUGAGCCCCACACAACUGGGAGAGUUACAGACUGAGCGACUCUUGGGUGAAGACAUGUCUGCAGCACACAUAGAUACCUCGGGAAGACACGUGUCUAAUUCAGUUUCCCUCAGCCGGUUCUGAACAAAUGCUUGUACCUAUUAAGGGAACAAAGCCUGUUCCUGAAAGACGCCCUGUAGUUCUCCUGGCCUGAGGUUUCUCUCUCGGGCUCUAACGGAGGUAACCCCAUUUUAACGUGCCUGUUGUCUAUCGAAGUGGGUGUCAGGGUCCUUUGCCCUCCCAGGUGAUGGCUUCCGAGGAUAAGCGACACAGAGGUACCAGGAUGGUCGCCUGCUCCAGAAACCUGCUGGGUUCUACAGAGGCUCUAAAGCUAAGGUUGCCCCUUUAAGGUGUGUGAGUGGAGGAGACUGUGAAUCAAAUAUGGAGCUUCCUGUUGACCGUGACUUUGACAUUGAAAUGCGAUUCCUUGUUUGCCCUCUGCUGUAAGCUCAGAAAUGGAGCAGAACCCGUUCAUUAAGACACUGGCGGCUUAAGACUUUUUAGCCACGGAUGGUUUCCAAUCAACGCCACCUCUUGGGAACAUUCUUUGUCAUUGUGAAGCUCACCUGGGGGUGGACAGAAAGAUUUGAACAAACAUGGUCAUUUCUUCCCCACUCUUUCUGGCCUCGCUUUUGAGAUCUGAAGGCAAGACUUUUGUGGACUCUGUCAAUGCUUAGACUCCUCGAUGAAGCCAUGGAAAAUGUGGGGUCAGGGAUGAUACACUUUAAGGACAUACCUAGAAAAUAGCUUCAUCAGCAGGCAUCAUCUCCGCUUCACCCACGCGCAGGCUUUGAACAGUCAGCCCACCAGCAAGCGGCUAAACCCUGAGGAGUAAAUAAUAACACAAUCCUUCAUGGGUUUUUUUAGGUUAUUUUUGGCCCUUGGUGUCCCAGAUAGAGAAGUACACGCAGGAGACGAUUUGUUUGUAUGUUGGACUCUUUGCCCUGUGUGGAAUUAUUU
This is a non-coding RNA of Sus scrofa (pig), 5137 nucleotides long. NCBI's taxonomy places the organism in Eukaryota, Metazoa, Chordata, Mammalia, Artiodactyla, Suidae. The record is from RefSeq and is a predicted model, not a curated record.